This is a non-coding RNA of Rickettsiella grylli, 73 nucleotides long. The record is from Rfam. NCBI's taxonomy places the organism in Bacteria, Pseudomonadati, Pseudomonadota, Gammaproteobacteria, Legionellales, Coxiellaceae.
GUCCCCAUCGUCUAGAGGCCUAGGACAUCGCCCUUUCACGGCGGUAACAGGGGUUCGACUCCCCUUGGGGACG